This 77-nucleotide transfer RNA is filed under the name Burkholderia cepacia. Its description in RNAcentral is "tRNA-Pro". It matches the Rfam family "tRNA". Rfam says of the family: Transfer RNA (tRNA) molecules are approximately 80 nucleotides in length. Their secondary structure includes four short double-helical elements and three loops (D, anti-codon, and T loops). RNAcentral also lists the same sequence under 7 other names. Lineage: Bacteria; Pseudomonadati; Pseudomonadota; Betaproteobacteria; Burkholderiales; Burkholderiaceae. The record is from RNAcentral.
CGGAACGUAGCGCAGCCUGGUAGCGCACUUGAUUUGGGAUCAAGGGGUCGCGAGUUCGAACCUCGCCGUUCCGACCA